Molecule: long non-coding RNA, 1016 nt
Organism: Spinacia oleracea (spinach)
Lineage: Eukaryota; Viridiplantae; Streptophyta; Magnoliopsida; Caryophyllales; Amaranthaceae
Exons: 4
Source: RefSeq, a predicted model, not a curated record
GAAAAAACGCCUAUUGUAGCCCCCUUGUUGAGGGGGGCAUACAUAAGUGAGCCUCAAUAACCACCCAGUCAACGCGGGUCAAAUAUUUUACUAACAGAUUGGGGCGGGCUUUUGUGGGGUUCGCUUCUAUAGAUACUGUUGAAGGGGGCUUUUGAUUGCCCGCCUCAAUAGACACUAGUCUAAAGGGGCGGGCUUAUGUUUGUUCGCUUCAACAGGUCUUCACAAUCUACUGCGUUUUAAUUCUAUCUCCUCCUCAUUUCAUCUGUUUCAUUUCUCUCUCUUCUCUUCGCUCUCCUCUCUCCUCUCUCUCCUGGUUCAAAACUCCUCAAACCCGCUAUUUCGUCAACAAAUCGGGCUACCUCUCCUCACAGUCGUUGGCUUCCAUGGAAGCUUUUCCUCCGCCUUCCAUGGAAGAGUUACAAAGCUAGGGUAUCUCCGCGACCUCUCUCCCUCGACUCUUCAAACUCGUCGAUUUGUCUCCCUCCUCAAGCUAGGGUAUAUCGAUUCGACCGUCAUCUACUUAGCAUUCUCGAGGAAGACGGCGUCGUUCUCCAAAUGAGGUAACUCUUUCAUCUCUCUCCAUCUCUCCUGCAUUCUUCAAUUCUUUUAGGUUUUUGAUUUUUCAUAUUAUUUUUUAUUAACUUUUUUGAUUUAUAAUUUAGGUUUUUGAUUAUUUUUGUUGAUUUUAACGAUUUUUUAUUUUCUAACGGGAGGUGCGGCUCGGGUUUCGGUAGGUCGUGGGUGGUCGGAUGAGGCGACGCAAGCAAGGUGAUGGCUUGCUGGUGGCUCUGAUCUUGCGGUGCUAUAUAUCCAAGUCCUGCAGCAUCUAAAGCUGAGUUAUAUGUAGUCAUGACCAGUAUGGUUUAUUUCAGGAUCACAACCAUGCUCAAUGUGGAAUUACAGAGUGUAGUAAACUGAAGGAUUUGAAGACUGCAUUUCUGACAGAUGACGCAACAACAAUUUGUUUAGAGAUUCUGGAGAAAGGAGAUCUUCAAGUUGCAGGGAAAGAAAGGCAG